UCUGGGACGUUGGAGUCUUAGGAAUGAGAGUCUCUUUGUAUAACCAUCAUGCUAUGUCCCCCUGGGGGAAAUCAUUCAAAAGUGAUAACUGUGAGAAAACCCCACUAGUGUUGCCCAGCUCUUAACCAUCAUAAGGACAGUAUACACAGAAUACUUCAUAAAAUCCCACAAACUGGAAAAAGAAAAGCUUUAUUCAAACUGAUUGGAUGUCAAAGAAAUAAAAACUAUGCAUGCACCUAGCACAGAAGAAUAUCAGCAGUUUGUCACACACACACACACACACACACACACACACACACACACACACCAUUACAUCUCAAGGAAAUUAUCAAAGGGGUCAGUUUUACACAUAGAAUAUGGAAAGUACUCUUUUAGAAAUGGAACCUUUGUAUACAGUAGGGAAUUCCCUAGUGUGCUGAAUAGGGCAACACCCUUAAAAUGGGAGACACCCACUCCACACACAAUGCUGUAAGCUAGGCAGACAAGCUACCAAAGAACAGAGUGUGAGGAAGUGUGUGGGAAGAGAGACCACACCAAAGAAGUCAACUCAGGGAAGAAAGCACGAAUCAAUGGGAGCAUGUGAUCAUCUUCAGCAGGAAGCCAGAGUCCUUAAUCCUGCACAUUUAAAAUCUACUCUAGGGAAACAAAAUCCUGUAACUUAAGCCAAGCUUUUUGUAGACAAAACAUGGCUGAGAAAUGGACACCAUCAGUGCAUCUACCUCCCCAUGCCUCACGCUCCCCUUUGAAAGGGGACCUCCCAAUAAAGACUGGGAGUA
This is a long non-coding RNA of Erinaceus europaeus (western European hedgehog), 776 nucleotides long. RefSeq lists it as uncharacterized. The transcript has 2 exons. Lineage: Eukaryota; Metazoa; Chordata; Mammalia; Eulipotyphla; Erinaceidae. The record is from RefSeq and is a predicted model, not a curated record.